This 216-nucleotide ribosomal RNA is filed under the name Glomeromycotina sp. Its description in RNAcentral is "partial small subunit ribosomal RNA". The stretch from base 40 to 216 matches the Rfam family "Eukaryotic small subunit ribosomal RNA", at positions 686 to 864 of the family's 1831-position model. The record is from RNAcentral. Lineage: Eukaryota; Fungi; Glomeromycota.
GGGUCAGUAGGUUGGUCGUGCCACCGGUACGUACUGGUCUCACUGAUUCCUCCUUCCUGAAGAACUGUAAUGUCAUUAAUUUGGUGUUGCGGGGAAACAGGACUGUUACUUUGAAAAAAUUAGAGUGUUUAAAGCAAGCUAACGCUUGAAUACAUUAGCAUGGAAUAAUGAAAUAGGACGAUCGAUCCUAUUUUGUUGGUUUCUAGGAUUGACGUA